RNAcentral lists this unclassified non-coding RNA (272 nucleotides) under Hevea brasiliensis (rubber tree). Lineage: Eukaryota; Viridiplantae; Streptophyta; Magnoliopsida; Malpighiales; Euphorbiaceae. The record is from RNAcentral.
GGAAAACAGAAAACAAUAACAUGUAUUCUUGAAAUUUUCUUGCCCAACAUAUUAUUCACAAAUUGUUCAUUUUCUUAUGCUGAAGUUGAAAUUCAAGAUUUUAUAAUUUUUAAUAUGAAGUUGAUGAUCUUGUUCUUUUGCCCGUUUAUGGAUAAAAAAAUAUUCCCAUAACUUUUUUGGAAAGGAGUUAGAUGAUCUAUCUUAAUUAAAAUUACCAGCAGAUUUCUCAACCCUUUUGCAGAAAAUUCUUACUGAAUUAGUUUCUCUGAUUU